GCCGAAGUGGUGGAAUUGGUAGACACGCUAGGUUCAGGGUCUAGUGCGGGUUUCCGCGUGGGAGUUCGACUCUCCCCUUCGGCACCA
This 87-nucleotide transfer RNA is filed under the name Oceanidesulfovibrio indonesiensis. Its description in RNAcentral is "Desulfovibrio indonesiensis tRNA-Leu". It matches the Rfam family "tRNA". From Rfam's summary of the family: Transfer RNA (tRNA) molecules are approximately 80 nucleotides in length. Their secondary structure includes four short double-helical elements and three loops (D, anti-codon, and T loops). Further hydrogen bonds mediate the characteristic L-shaped molecular structure. tRNAs have two regions of fundamental functional importance: the anti-codon, which is responsible for specific mRNA codon recognition, and the 3' end, to which the tRNAs corresponding amino acid is attached (by aminoacyl-tRNA synthetases). tRNAs cope with the degeneracy of the genetic code in two manners: having more than one tRNA (with a specific anti-codon) for a particular amino acid; and 'wobble' base-pairing, i.e. permitting non-standard base-pairing at the 3rd anti-codon position. The record is from RNAcentral. Lineage: Bacteria; Pseudomonadati; Thermodesulfobacteriota; Desulfovibrionia; Desulfovibrionales; Desulfovibrionaceae. RNAcentral also lists the same sequence under 4 other names.